GUGGUACCCAAUUUUCAUCAUCCAGGAAAAUAAAACCUGUGAGCUGCAAGAUGUAAAAAAACCUUCUCCUCAGGACUCUCCCAUUUGGACAUCGCAGAGCAACAGUAACUACUUUUUUUAGCUGUUUCAGAAGGUUCUUCAGUUCCUUCUGGGAGCACUUUGGGGAACUUCUACUUUGUAUAGAAAUAUUUUGGUAUGGUUUGCAUUUUUACAAUGAGAAGAUAAUAUUUUUGAAAUACUAUAAAGCAGAUGAAAAACAUUCAAAACAACCUAUUUGAAGCAGAUCUUGUGAACUAUACAAGGAUUUGUACACUUUUUGUCAGGUGUUCGCUAGAGAAGCAGUACAGAAGUGUGGAUAGUGUGUCAGCCUUGAAAUUACAUUCUGGGUUUAAAGCCUGGUGUCUCUUACCAACUCAUAAGACUGAGGAUUAACUCGAUGGAUUCUGGCGUAGUCACCCUAAAUCCCAUCUUGUUCACCCUGGUCUCCAGGUGCUUCCACCAGUCUCUAGAACCUACCAAGAG
Molecule: long non-coding RNA, 522 nt
Filed under: Heterocephalus glaber (naked mole-rat)
Lineage: Eukaryota; Metazoa; Chordata; Mammalia; Rodentia; Bathyergidae
Description: lncRNA (ENSHGLG00000037825.1)
Source: RNAcentral